Molecule: ribosomal RNA, 403 nt
Filed under: uncultured bacterium
Lineage: Bacteria
Description: partial 16S ribosomal RNA
Rfam family: Bacterial small subunit ribosomal RNA
Source: RNAcentral
AUUGAACGCUGGCGGCAGGCCUAACACAUGCAAGUCGAGCGAGCGGCGGACGGGGGAGUACUGUAUGGGGACUGCCCGAUAGAGGGGGAUAACUACUGGAAACGGUAGCUAAUACCGGAUACUAUCGGAUAACCCAUAUGGGAUUAGCUAGUAGGUGAGGUAAUGGCUCACCUAGGCGACGAUCCCUAGCUGGUCUGAGAGGAUGAUCAGCCACACGGGGAAUGAGACACUGCCCAGACUCCUACGGAGGCAGCAGUGGGGAAUAUUGCACAAUGGGCGCAAGUCUGAUGCAGCCAUGCCGCGUGUAUGAAGAAGGCCCUAGGGUUGUAAAGUACUUUCAUUCGGGAGGCGUUACCGACAGAAGAAGCACCGGCUAACUCCGUGCCAGCAGCCGCGGUAAUAC